Molecule: long non-coding RNA, 532 nt
Filed under: Pongo abelii (Sumatran orangutan)
Lineage: Eukaryota; Metazoa; Chordata; Mammalia; Primates; Hominidae
Description: lincRNA
Source: RNAcentral
ACAAGAGAGAGAAGGGAAGAGAGAGAGAGGGAGAUAGAGGGAAAAAGGAGGGUCCCCGACUUCCUUACAGAGAACAUCUGAUGAAAGCCACCAAGGUACUUGAAUUGCUUCUAAAGACCUCGGAAUGGGAAGGACUGAGUUUCAUCUUCAGCCCGUUGGUGGUCAUAUUUUCCUGCGGUGGCUGACACUCAGGAGGCGUGGGAUAGAAGGUGACUGCUUGCGCUACUCGGUGUCCUUGCAGUUGCCAGCCUCCCAGGGACUCUGCUCACCUAAGAAGCCCACUGAAUAACAGGUUUUUUCAAGAGAGAAAGAAAGAAAACAGAUCCGCUAUAAAUGAGGACAACUUUGACUCAUAAACAGUUCAUGUGCUCAGAGAGGAAAGGCACCUGGUACUUUCUAAAGGAAAGCACCUCCAAAUACCAGUACCGUGUGGUGGGAGGGCAAUUCUUUGCCUUGUCAAAUGGUACUGAAGCUUGAGGUCUGUUUCUGCCACCACGCCUGGAGUAACUGUCAGGGCCUCUUAUUUCUCAGA